CUGAUGUGAAAUAAGAGCUCCCUUGUUUCUAAAAUCCUUUCCACACUGGUUACAUUCAUAAUGUUUCUCUCCAGUGUGGAUUCUCUGAUGUACAGUAAGAGCUCCCUUUUCUCUAAAAGCCUUUCCACACUGGUUACAUUCAUAAGGUUUCUCUCCAGUGUGGAUUCUCUGAUGUACAGUAAGAGCUCCCUUUUCUCUAAAAGCCUUUCCACACUGGUUACAUUCAUAAGGUUUCUCUCCAGUGUGGAUUCUCUGAUGUACAAUAA
This 266-nucleotide long non-coding RNA is filed under the name Sarcophilus harrisii (Tasmanian devil). RNAcentral describes it as "lncRNA (ENSSHAG00000027082.1)". The record is from RNAcentral. Lineage: Eukaryota; Metazoa; Chordata; Mammalia; Dasyuromorphia; Dasyuridae.